GACGAACGCUGGCGGCGUGCUUAACACAUGCAAGUCGAACGAAGUGGCGAACGGGUGAGUAACGCGUAAUCAACCUGCCCUUCAGGGGGGGACAACAGUUGGAAACGACUGCUAAUACCGCAUAGGGAUGGAGGGGAUUGCGUCUGAUUGGCUAGUUGGAGGGGUAACGGCCAACCAAGGCGAUGAUCAGUAGCCGGGCUGGUAGGAUGAACGGCCACAUCUGGAACUGGACACGGCCCAGACUCCUAAGGGAGGCAGCAAUUGGGAAUCUUCCGCAAUGGACGAAAGUCUGAAGGCGCAACGCCGGGUGAGUGAUGACGGCCUUCGGGUUGUAAAAGUAUGUUAAUCGGGACGCGGUACCGGAAGAGAAAGCCACGGCUAACUCCGUGCCAGCAGCCGCGGUAAUAC
This 408-nucleotide ribosomal RNA is filed under the name uncultured bacterium. RNAcentral's name for it is "partial 16S ribosomal RNA". It matches the Rfam family "Bacterial small subunit ribosomal RNA", at positions 28 to 526 of the family's 1533-position model. The record is from RNAcentral.